AAUGAAAUCAAUGGAAUUCUCAGAACAAAUCAAACAUAUGCUGUAAUAACCUUGAUCUUCUUUUGAUCUUCUUAAGUGUGGAUCUGCGUGAUUAUAAUUCUGAUACAGCUGAAAGAAACAAUACGUUUUUGCACAGUGCAACACAAGACACCCAGAAUUAUAGAAGUAAUUCUUUUGUAAAUUCAAUGGGUUUUUUAUUAAAGGAAAAGAAAAGAGUCUCCUGGUUGAUUCUUAUGUACCUGGUAAAGGACAAUGAUGCCAGAGAAACAAAAACUUCUGCUGCUUUGUGUUGUAUCACCUUCAUCAUAUCACCUAUCUGCAGUGUCACUACAUGCCAUCAUCAGUCUUAUUUCUGUCUUUAUUACUGAGACUCUGCCAAAGUGCUUACUGACAAGUGCUUACUCUUCCCCACCAUGACCCUAUCCCAAUAUGGGACAUACCCAGCAGAAAAGGUCCACUGCUACCCUGGAGACUUCAUGCAUAUUGUAUCAAAGAGCCUUCCAUGACAAGAGAGACCCAGUUGGAUUCCCUGGCUACAGAGACACAGUUGUAUACAAUUCAUAACCAUCAAUUGUCUACUAAACUUUAAAUUAUGUAGAAUUAGCAACGGGUUGAUGACCCUGUAGAUCAUCAGGAAGGAAGGAAGGAAGGAAGGAAGGAACCAUAACACAUACUCAGGAUCUUCAGCACAAGCAUGUGGACCUGCUAUCUGAGCUCUUGGAAGAUUGCUUCUGUUGGAAACAAGAUGUUGGGACUAGAUGGCUUUUUUUAUCUGACCCAGCAACACAGUUCUUAAAUAUGGCACUAUGAAGUCGUCGGUGGUUAUAAACAAAUUCUAGAGUUCACCAAUUUUUGCAUUUUUUAAAUGCAAAAGCAAUGUGUGAUUAGUAAAUGAAGACCAAACUAAUUUAAGCACAUUUAUUCCAUUAAAAACCAUAAGCUUUUCCAGUGUAAUACAUGGAAGGAUUACUUGGCACUGGGCUGGGUCUGCUCUUCUAAGCUAGCCAUUUUUAUCUCACAACUCUGACAUUUAAAAUCUUUUGGCAAGAAUCUCAUUUAUUAUGCAUUGUCAGCCUAAUUCAUUAUUUGUGUGACUUUAUAGGCAGAAAAAGAAAUAAUGGAUUAUAUCAACUGCAUGUCACUUAAUGAAGAUAAAGAGUAACUUAAUUUCCAUAUUAAUUUCUCUAUUAAAAUGACAGUAGGUAGUAGUGUAACCUUUGGGGUCAGGUUAAUUGUUUCAGUUAUGGGCGUCUAGACAAAGUAUAAUGUAGUUUUAAGUUUCCAUAUGCUCCUGAUCCAUUUUAUUCUCAAGCACCAGCACUGCCACCCCUCUUGUGAAAGUUAAUUGGGAAAAGAAUGUUCAGAGUUGAAGGGCAGCAUUUCUUAUAGGAGCAGUUUCCAUUUGCCCUAGUGAUUUAUAUGAAUGUGCACAUUAGAGCAAUGUCGUAUCAUUCGUUUCAAAAUGUCAGUUGUGGAGUGAAGAGACCCUGGAGUCGAAUCUUCUCUUUUUUUAAAUGUGUGGAUUCUCCCAUGGGUCUUUUGUUGCCAUGGAAAGAGUUGUGCUCCUGUCCCCAUGCUUGCUUUUUGUGCUUUUUCUUAGGUUGCAACUAUUAAGGGUAUAAUGCAAGUGUUCCCAUGUUAAAGCUGCGGGGGGCACUAAAGGUAAAGGGACCCUUGACCAUUAGGUCCAGUUGCGGACGACUCUGGUGUUGCGGCGCUCAUCUUGCUUUAUUGGCCACGGGAGCCGGUGUACAGCUUCCAGGCCAUGUGGCCAGCAUGACUAAGCCGCUUCUGGCAAACUAGAGCAGUGCACAGAAACGCUGUUUACCUUCCCGCCAGAGUGGUAUCUAUUUAUCUACUUGCACUUUGAUGUGCUUUUGAACUGCUAGGUUGGCAGGAGCUGGGACCGAGCAACGGGAGCUCACCCCGUCACGGGGAUUCGAACUGCCUACCUUCUGAUCGGCAAGCCCUAGGCUCUGUCGUUUAACCCACAGCGCCACCCGCGUGGGGCACUAUUACCCAUAAAUGCUAUGCAUACAUAAACUUUGGUAUCCAUUUUCUUUACUGCCUGCCAAAACUCCUAAUGAGCUCAAAGAUAGUAUGGAGUAAGUAUGAAACAUAAGCCCAAACUAAGCCCUCACUUGUAAAAGAGGGAAUCAUGAAACAGUCUCUUUUCGUUUCUCAUUGGAUUUACUUGCUAGGUUUUAAGCUUCUAAAAACUCAAGUUUUCAAUGUAACAAUAGGAAAUGAAUGUCCGUGGCUGCAAUUCUGUGAGGCCAUUGAACUUAUUGACUUACUUCCAAGAGAAUCUGCUGAGGACUGGACUUCAUACUUUUAAAUCCACAAGAACCAUGAUCACCAUAGGCGUGGUAAUACUAAGCCAAACUAUUAGUAAGCUUGAAUGAGUGAGUGUGUGAGUACAUGGAGGGAAAAUUGUGCCUAUGCAUCUCUUCCUCGUUCCUGCUUCUGCCAUUGUACCCAAAGCUAGGCUAUGGUUUGACCUAGCAUUAUUAUGUCUGAACCCAGGCUUAUGGUUUGUCUUACUUGAGAAAAACCACCAGCUGUAGCCACAGUUUGUUUUUAGCCUUGUAGGCCUGUGAACAUUUGGGACUUACCUGGUUGUUUUCUUUGUUUUUGAUGCUCUUAACUACAUUAGUACUCAGCACUUGACUUGGAGAUGAGGCUGAAUUUGAAAGCUUGUUGGAUGCAGGAAAUUGCUGUAAUGGAAAUAGAGAUAGAUGUUGCAUGCAUAUAUGUGUGUGUGUGUGUGUGCAUGUGCUGCAUGUAUGCUGUUGGAUCCUUUAUUUUAAAAAAUGUCAAGCAGCUUGAAGAUUAAAAUGAAAAGCAAACCAACUUCACAUAACAUAAGGUUAUGGGGGAGGGAAACCCUUAGAAUUUGCAGCAGAAUAGAAGAGCUACAGUAUGCAUUCACAUACUAAAUAUCUGCGUUUUCUACAUCUCUUUUAAGUCUUCCGUGAACAAUUUAUAGCCAUACUUUGCAAACAUUAAACCUUCACAAGAACCCUAUCCACAUUAAUUAGUCUGAUCCGUGGACAUUCUAUGUUCUAGGAAAUUAUUAUUCUGAUAUGCACACCCAUUCCCGUUGAUGUGUUGUUCAGGCUUGUUGUUGACCUAUGUGAGGAAAGAGUGUCCCUAAACAUACUAUGCUCUCUCAGGUGGUUGCACAUUUCAAGGAAUACCAACAAUGGUGGGCAAACUGUCUUUCAGAGAUAAUUGUUAGGUAAUUUUUAUUAUUAUUAUUAUUUUAGAACGAAUAUUUCCAUGUGAUUGACAAUUCACAAAGUAACCAAAUAUCUCCUAGAUUUAAUCCAAGUAUGUAUCUUGUUUAGGUAUUUAUUGUCAGGAGUUCAGCCUACACUCGAGUAGGACUCUGGCAGAGACACAUGCCCGACUGGCAUGUUCCCUCCUUCUUGGUCGAUCAUUCGGGAGCUUCAAAAGCUUUCUCCUGCCCGAACAUCACAGCGACCGAUGCCAAUCGACACCGGCACACUUAGGGGUCCACAGAGUUUGCACAGUUGCGUAACAGACCUCAGCAACUCAGCAUUUUAGCUAAUCUACUUUAUUUACAUAUAAACACACACGGAACAGUGCAACAUGGCUCCCUCUCUAUCUAGCAUCAGACAGCAAAGAGAAAAAGAACAAAGGGCAAUAGUCCCACUUCAUGGAACACAGUAACACAAACAUCCUGUCUUCGUCACUUCCCACUCUGUGGAGUCAAAACAUAUACCGUCAUGUGAAAGACAAAAAUCCUAUGACUGCAAUCAUGGAGCAGGAAUUCUAACAUUUAUAUAUACACCGUAGUAGUUGGUUUAUUCUCAGAGUUUGCCUCCAAUGCAAGGACAGGUGUAUUACUCUAAUCAGCCUUAAUGGCAUGAAAUGUUUCUAAACAUUUGCAAGCCAUCAUUUCCUUUUACUUUUUAAAUUCCUUAUUUUUAUCUUGGAUUCUGUCCCAAACAUCUGAAAGCUAAUUCAUUUAUAUUUGUUUUGUGUACACACACAGGCACAUUGAAAUUUGUUUGCAAGCAGCAAUUCAAAUUGAGGAAGAGGGGGUAAAAAAGGCUUCUCAGUUAUCAGCAGCAGGCAGUUUUAUCCCAGGAAUUAUGUGGUCAAUGCUAGAGGUUUAUAAAUGUCAAAAAUCCUAAUAAGCUUUGAUUAUGUCAGGGGUUGCUUUUCCAUUCUUCUCAAGAGGAGCAUGUUUCUGUAUAAUGUGAAAUGGUAGCAAAAUGUCUGCUGUUAAGAGGUCACAAUAUGAAUUUGAUUAUUAUCCUAGAGUAGUUGCAAGCUUUUGAUUCCACCAGGUUUCCCAGUGCGUUCAAGUCAAUUUUGUGGCUGGCAUAUUGCUCAGCUUUGCUGAAUCAGAUCCAAAGCAGAUUUGGCAGGCUCAGAUUCUAGGAAUGACAUUAUUCUAGGCUACAAGAGGGAUUGCUCCAUGACUUGACUUGCCCUCAUGCUUCUUUUCACAGGUGUUGCUCAGCUUCUUACAACCAGAUGCCAGAAAUAGCAGGAAAAGUGGGCUGGGGGAAGCUUAUCUUAUGUAUAAGAGAGAUCAGACCUGCAACUUGGCUAUAUUAGCAGUUGUCAGAUUUGGAAUGGCCCUUCAACAAUCCAACAGGUUGUAGUGUCAGAUGGAUAUACAGUGGUACCUCUACUUACAGAUGCGAUCCGUUCUGGGGUGCCGUUCACACCCUGAAAAGUCUGUAAGUAGAGCGCAGCUUCUGCAUGUGCGUGUGACACGAUAGAGCGCUCCUGCGCAUGCACAAAGCGGCGAAUCCGGAAGUAAACACUUCCGGGUUUGCUGCGUUCGUAACCUGAAAAAAUGCAAUGUGAAGCAAACGCAGCUCGAGGUUUGACUGUAAUGUUAAGCUUGUUACAAAUGCAUGGUCCAUGGCUGGUGAGUGUUGCCAGAACUGUUGCUGGAAGAGUUGCUUCCAGCUUGUGAUUUCAUGUACCUCUGAGGUCUUUUCUGGUUGCGGGGCCUGAGUGGAUUGGGCCAGAGCUCCAGAUGACCCCCUUGUUCAGUGAACUGACACAGGGUUUGCAAUAUCCCUGCAAAAGGGUUGUGUUGUCUACGAGUGAUGAACAUUUAUAGUCCUGCCCACAUAGUGCCACAGGAAUUGAGUUCGGAGCCUCUUGUCCAAGCAUGCUAGUUAACCCUACCCCGAAUAUAAAAGCUUACCCCUUGGAUAAGAAGUGCUUCAUUAGUUUACAAUUUGUAUAGAAUUCAAUGAUGACAUUUGCCCUGUAUUUUCAUUUCAGAAUUAUGGCUUAACACUAUAGAUAUUAAUUUUCUGCAAGAGUUAUUUCCCUCAUCAUUAGGUAGUUAUUUUUGAGAUGCUUAAACUUGUUCUCCCUGACAGUAGUUUAAAGGAGCAUUCAGGGAAUGUAAUUGGUUGGGAAAUUACACUCUUUACUACUGCUUCAUGAAUGCAGCUUUUUGCAUGUUAUCAGAAAUAAUUUUGCUCUCUUGUUUGCGUCAGCUUCUUCACUCUCCAAAGACUGAAAUCAAAUCUCUCAAAAGAUACGAAUAAGAUAAUAAUCACUCUACAGAAUACCCCACACUGUUUCUUUAGCAAGAAAAAAUGAGAGGGGCGGCGAUUGUAUAUGGAUUGGCAUGCAAUAUAUAGUUUUCCCCAAAACCAUGGUAACAAAAACAUAGUUCUUUUUU
Molecule: non-coding RNA, 5686 nt
Organism: Podarcis lilfordi (Lilford's wall lizard)
Lineage: Eukaryota; Metazoa; Chordata; Lepidosauria; Squamata; Lacertidae
Source: the annotation of a GenBank genome assembly